GCAAGCGGGCUUGGCGGCGAGCUGCGCGAUCGGAUCGCCCACGCCCCAGCGCUCGUUGUUCCAUCGCCCUUGCCAUUUCUUUGAUUCGAAACUUCCGGACCUGUUCCAAGCGAUUCUUCCAUCAUCGUUUCGGGAUUUGAGGACUUACGAGCUGGAAGAUCGACAAAAGAAAGGGCAAAAGGAGGAUAGGGUUCGAUUUUAC
Molecule: long non-coding RNA, 202 nt
Filed under: Selaginella moellendorffii
Lineage: Eukaryota; Viridiplantae; Streptophyta; Lycopodiopsida; Selaginellales; Selaginellaceae
Description: long non-coding RNA (SMOE_LNC000898)
Source: RNAcentral